AGUGAACGCUGGCGGUAGGCCUAACACAUGCAAGUCGAACGGCAGCACAGUAAGAGCUUGCUCUUACGGGUGGCGAGUGGCGGACGGGUGAGGAAUACAUCGGAAUCUACUUUUUCGUGGGGGAUAACGUAGGGAAACUUACGCUAAUACCGCAUACGACCUACGGGUGAAAGCAGGGGAUCUUCGGACCUUGCGCGAUUGAAUGCGCCGAUGUCGGAUUAGCUAGUUGGCGGGGUAAAGGCCCACCAAGGCGACGAUCCGUAGCUGGUCUGAGAGGAUGAUCGGCCGCACUGGAGCGGAGACACGGUCCAGGCUCCUACGGGAGGCAGCAGUGGGGAAUAUUGGGCAAUGGGCGCAAGCCUGAUCCAGCCAGACCGCGUGGGUGGAGAAGGCCUUCGGGUUGUAAAGCCCUUUUGUUGGGAAAGAAAAGCAGCAGGUUAAGACCCCGCUGUUCUGACGGUACCCAAAGAAUAAGCACCGGCUAACUUCGUG
This 492-nucleotide ribosomal RNA is filed under the name uncultured bacterium. Its description in RNAcentral is "partial 16S ribosomal RNA". It matches the Rfam family "Bacterial small subunit ribosomal RNA", at positions 29 to 507 of the family's 1533-position model. The record is from RNAcentral.